RNAcentral lists this long non-coding RNA (326 nucleotides) under Homo sapiens (human). RNAcentral describes it as "HSALNT0304244". The record is from RNAcentral. Lineage: Eukaryota; Metazoa; Chordata; Mammalia; Primates; Hominidae.
AUUGCAGCUGCUUCCUGCUCCCUCCAUGGACCUGCACAGAAUUGUCCCAUGUUUCUGUUUGUUUGGGCACCACUGAGGAAGGAAGCAUGAAGGACGCAGAGGUCAGGCCAUUCUAUUGCCCUCCUGCUGCUGGGUCUUUAAUCCUGAGAUGGCUUCAGGGGCUGGUCCUUCUCCAUGGCCCCCUCCACAUAUCUCAGCCAUUUUGCAAACCCUGGUCAGAAUGAAACAUUCCUUGGGAACUCGGGCCAUGAGAAGCAUCCUUCCUGACCACCUGACUGCGGAAACAUCCUUAUCGCAUCCUCCCGGGCGAAGGCCCAACAGCCUGA